This 1332-nucleotide ribosomal RNA is filed under the name uncultured bacterium. RNAcentral describes it as "16S ribosomal RNA". It matches the Rfam family "Bacterial small subunit ribosomal RNA". The record is from RNAcentral.
UGCCUAACACAUGCAAGUCGAGCGCCCCUUCGGGGGAGCGGCGAACGGGUGAGUAACACGUUGAUACCUACCCCUAAGUGAGGGAUAACCUAUCGAAAGGUAGCUUAAUACCGCAUGUGCCCAAUAUGGGUAAAGCUUUAUGCGCUUAGGGAGGGGUCUGCGCACUAUCAGCUAGUUGGUGAGGUAAUGGCUUACCAAGGCUACGACGGUUAGCUGGUCUGAGAGGACGACCAGCCACAAUGGGACUGAGACACGGCCCAUACUCCUACGGGAGGCAGCAGUGAGGAAUUUUGCGCAAUGGGCGAAAGCCUGACGCAGCAAUGCCGCGUGGAGGAUUAAGGCCUUCGGGUUGUAAACUCCUUUUAUAAGUGAAGAAUUUUGACAGUAACUUAUGAAUAAGUCACGGCUAACUACGUGCCAGCAGCCGCGGUAAUACGUAGGUGGCAAACGUUAUCCGGAAUUAUUGGGCGUAAAGGGUCCGUAGGCGGUCAUAUAAGUUGAGUGUAAAAUCUCCCGGCUCAACCGGGAAAUCGUACUCAAAACUAUAAGACUAGAGUAUGUCAGAGGUUAGCGGAAUUCUAGGAGUAGGGGUAAAAUCCGUUGAUACCUAGAGGAACACCAAUAGCGAAGGCGGCUAACUGGGACAUUACUGACGCUCAGGGACGAAAGCGUGGGGAGCGAAAAGGAUUAGAUACCCUUGUAGUCCACGCCCUAAACGAUGAACACUAGGUUUUUGAGAGAAUCGACCCUCUUGAGAACCGUAAGCUAACGCGUUAAGUGUUCCGCCUGAGUAGUACGAGCGCAAGCUUAAAACUCAAAGGAAUAGACGGGGGCCUACACAAGCGGUGGAGCGUGUGGUUUAAUUCGAUGAUAAGCGGGGAACCUUACCAAGGCUUGACAUUCUUCGAAUUCCUCAGAAAUGAGGAAGUGCCCUUUAUUAGGAGCGAAGUAACAGGCGCUGCAUGGUUGCCGACAGCUCGUGUCGUGAGAUGUCCAGUUAAUUCNNUUAACGAGCGCNACCUUUGUCCCUAUGUUGUAUUUUUCACAGGAGACUGCCCGGGCAACCGGGAGGAAGGAAGAGAUGACGUCAAAUCAGCAUGGCCCUUAUGCCUUGGGCUACACACGCGCUACAAUGGCCGGUACAACGGGGACGCAAUGUGGUAACACGGAGCAAAUCCUAAUAAAACCGGUCUAAGUUCGGAUUGAGGGCUGAAAUUCGCCCUCAUGAAGUUGGAAUCGCUAGUAACCGGGAAUCAGCACGUCCCGGUGAAUAUGAGAGGUAGGCCUUGUACUCACCGCCCGUCAUGGCACGAGAGUUGGAAAUAUCCAAAG